CAAUAGCGUAUAUUAAAGUUGUUGCGGUUAAAAGCUCGUAGUUGGAUUUCUGUUGAGGACGACCGGUCCGCCCUCUGGGUGAGUAUCUGGCUCGGCCUUGGCAUCUUCUUGGAGAACGUAACUGCACUUGACUGUGUGGUGCGGUAUCCAGGACUUUUACUUUGAGGAAAUUAGAGUGUUUCAAGCAGGCGUACGCCUUGAAUACAUUAGCAGUAGGAAUAAUGAGAGUACGGUACCGUUGGUUCUUAUUUUGGUUUGGUUUCUAGAGCUGAGGUAAUGUAUUAAGUAGGGAUUAGGGUUGGGGGCUAUUCGUUAAUUUUAAUUGUCAGGAGGUAGAAAUUUCUUGGUAUUUAAUUAAAGGACGGACUACUGACGAAAGCUAUUU
This 385-nucleotide ribosomal RNA is filed under the name uncultured eukaryote. RNAcentral describes it as "bacterial SSU rRNA". It matches the Rfam family "Eukaryotic small subunit ribosomal RNA", at positions 592 to 957 of the family's 1831-position model. The record is from RNAcentral.